UGGGGGAGAGUGUCACCCCAUAAAAUUUUUGCUCCAAAAUUAUCCAAAUUAUUUUUGUUUGCUGGCUGUCCAUUUGAAGGCUUGAUGGGUGGCGCAUGAAUUUUUGCUAAGUGUGGACGUGAAAUUGCAUGGAGUCCUUAAAUGGGGCGUGAGACUUUUGCAUGGGACAUGCAAUGGGAGCUUUCACGUGGAAUUGUUAAUAUGCAUGGGAAAAGUGGGACGUCUCUUGCAUGGAAAUGAGAUAGUGGAAGUGCAUUAUGAAAUCCCAAAGUGGCCAAGUGUAGCGUGGUGCAUGUGGAGCGCACCAAAUUGGCCCAAAGGUGAACCGCAUGUGGAAUUUGUGUAUUGCAUGGGAUAUCACAUGCAAUGACGUAAGGGACCAUCACGUGGGACUUGGGCUGAAGCAAGUUACGUGCAUGGCAUCUUCAACCAUGCAUUGGGGGAUUGGAGGGAAAAUCUCCCGCCACUUGGAGCUGGCCAAGGGGCCCAGCUGGUUGGGCGCCCAAUUUUCCCUCCACCAUUUCAAGUUUCAUGCGGCAAGUGGACAACUUGGAGCUAGGUGGCGUGCUCAAAUUCUGCCCCAUGUCCACAAUGAUAACACCUCAUUUUCCCAUGCUUAUUUUAGGACACCUUACAUUAAUGAAUUCUGCCAUUUGUUGGGUACUCUUGGGACAGCUUGCUUGUAUAUAAAAGGGCUUUGUUCCCUCUUGUUUUAGUGGACGGGUGAGAGUGUAAACUUGAGAGAGUUUGUGAGAGUUUUCUUUUGGCAAAUGUACAGCCGAUUCAUGUAAUGAAAGCAGUAGUCCUUUGCAACUUCUUCUCUUUAUUUCUACAUUUCUUUGUGUGGUUGAUGCGCAUGGUUUGCUUGCUUAUAUUGUGUUGAUGAUUGUUGGGAGUGUUGCUGUUUGAUUGUUUCUUGCUUGCUUGUGUUGUGGCGUGUUGAUGCUGGUUAUUGUUGGGUGGCCAUUGUAAUUCUUGGUGGUGGGAAUUAUUGCCGUGGGACACCUUGUAUAUUGGUUGGGAUUAGUUGCCGUGAACCUUGAGUGAGGUUCUUUGGGUCCUUGUAGUUUGGGUGUAAACUGGUUGCCGUAAGGAUUCAAGGGACAAAAGGGAGGCUGACUUGCGUGUGGAGUG
This 1134-nucleotide unclassified non-coding RNA is filed under the name Hevea brasiliensis (rubber tree). The record is from RNAcentral. Lineage: Eukaryota; Viridiplantae; Streptophyta; Magnoliopsida; Malpighiales; Euphorbiaceae.